GAGUUUGAUCGUGGCUCAGAUUGAACGCUGGCGGCAGGCCUAACACAUGCAAGUCGAGCGGAUGACGGAGCUUGCUCCUUGAUUCAGCGGCGGACGGGUGAGUAAUGCCUAGGAAUCUGCCUGGUAGUGGGGGACAACGGUUUCGAAAGGACGCUAAUACCGCUAUACGUCCUACGGGAGAAAGCAGGGGACCUUCGGGCCUUUGCGCUAUCAGAUGAGCCCUAGGUCGGAUUAGCUAGUUGGUGGGGUAAUGGACUCACCAAGGCGACGAUCCGUAACUGGUCUGGAGAGGAUGAUCA
This 299-nucleotide ribosomal RNA is filed under the name bacterium enrichment culture clone ALO1_GLFRUDD03GYD1C. Its description in RNAcentral is "partial 16S ribosomal RNA". It matches the Rfam family "Bacterial small subunit ribosomal RNA", at positions 9 to 306 of the family's 1533-position model. The record is from RNAcentral.